CCAAGUAGCUGGGACUACAGGUGCCUGCCACAACACCUGGCUAUUUUUUUUUUUUUGCAGUUUUUGGCCGGGGCUGGGUUUGAACCCACCACCUCCAGCAUAUGGGGGUGGCACCUUACUCGGCUGAACCACAGGUACCGCCAGAACCUGCCUAUUUUUAGAGAUGAGGUCUCACUUUGGCUCAGGCUGGUCUGGAACCUGUGAGCGCAGGCAAUCCACCCACCUCAGCUUCCCAGAGUGCUGGGAUUAUAGGCAUGAGCCCUUGGCGCCCUGCCUGAAGUCUGCUAAUUUUUAACAACUUUUCUUUUUUUUUUUUUUUGCAGUUUUUGGCCAGGGUGGGGUUUGAACCCAUCACCUCUGGCAUAUGGGGCUGGUGCCCUACCCCUUCAGCCACAGGCACCGCCCAAUUUUUAACAACUUUUCAUAGAGCUGUUCUAGCUGUUGCCCAGGCUGUUCUCCAACUCCUGGCCUCAAUCAGCCCUCCUACCUCGGCCUCCUGAAGUGGCAGAACUAAAGACAUGAGCCACUGCAUCUGGGCUCCUUUUGCUUUUAAAAAAUGUACCAACUAGCCUUUUGGCUCGCUGAGCACCGUCAUGGCAGUCGGCAAGAACAAACGCCUUACAAAAGGCGGCAGAAAGGGAGCCAAGAAGAAAGUGGUUGAUCCAUUUUCUAAGGAAGAUUGGUCUGAUGUGAAGGCACCUGCUGUGUUCAAUAUAAGGAAUACUGGGAAAACGCUAGUCACCAGGACUCGAGGAAGCAAAAUUGCAUCUGAUGGCUUCAAAGGUCGUGUGUUUGAAGUGAGUCUUGCUGAUUUGCAGAAUGAUGAAGUUGUGUUUAGAAAAUUCAAGCUGAUUACUGAAGAUGUUCAGGGCAAAAACUGCCUAACUUCCAUGGCAUGGAUCUUACCCGUGACAAAAUGUGUUCUAUAGUUAAAAAAUGGCAGACUAUGAUUGAAGCUCAUGUUGAUGUUAAGACUACCGAUGGUUAUUUGCUUCGUCUGUUCUGUGUUGGUUUUACUAAAAAACGCAACAAUCAGAUACGGAAGACCUCUUACGCCCAGCACCAACAGGUUCGCCAAAUCUGGAAGAAUAUGAUGGAAAUCAUGACCAGAGAGGUGCAGACCAAUGACUUGAAAGAAGUUGUCAAUAAAUUGAUUCCAGAUAGCAUUGGAAAAGACAUAGAAAAGGCAUGCCAAUCUAUUUAUCCUCUCCAUGAUGUCUUCGUUAGAAAAGUAAAAGUGCUGAAGAAACCCAAGUUUGAAUUGGGAAAACUCAUGGAGCUUCCUGGUGAAGGUAGUAGCUCUGGAAAAGCUACUGGGGACAAGACACGUACUAAAGUUGAACGAGCUGAUGGAUAUGAACCACCAGUCCAAGAAUCUGUCUAAAAUUCAGGUUUUUAAUAAUGACAAAUAAAGAAUCCC
RNA transcript from Nycticebus coucang (slow loris), 1420 nucleotides. It is a transcript of the gene named 40S ribosomal protein S3a-like, with no coding region annotated. The transcript has a single exon. The record is from RefSeq and is a predicted model, not a curated record. Lineage: Eukaryota; Metazoa; Chordata; Mammalia; Primates; Lorisidae.